Molecule: ribosomal RNA, 531 nt
Filed under: Triticum aestivum (bread wheat)
Lineage: Eukaryota; Viridiplantae; Streptophyta; Magnoliopsida; Poales; Poaceae
Description: partial small subunit ribosomal RNA
Source: RNAcentral
AUGGGUGGAGGCCACGACAUGCACGGCAGCCCCAACGGCGGCGUGAAGGGCUUCGUGUCCAGCCUCGUCGGCGGCGGCAAAGGCCACGGCUACGGGUCAUCAUACGGCCAGGGGCACGGCUACGGCGGCGGCCAUGUACAGGGCUACCAGCAGGGAUACGGCGGGCAUGGACAGAGCUACGAGCACGGUUACGGCGGACAUGCGCAGCACGGACACGGCGGCUACGAGCAUGGGUAUGGCGGCGGGCAUGUGCAGCAGGGACACGGGCACGGGUACGGCGGACACGGGCAGCAGCACGGAUACGGCGGCGGCCACGCGCAGCUCGGGUACCCUCCCGCUGCCGGCGCCUACCCUCCGCACGGGGGCUACCAGGCGCACGGCUACGCGCCGGCGGCCUACCCUUCUCACGGGGCGCACCAGGGUCACAUGGGAUCGUACCACACCGGGCAUGGCGGCGGGCACCACCACGGCGGCAAGUACCACGGCGGCAAGUACAACGGCGGCAAGCACGGCAGUAAGUGGAUCAGGUGA